This 406-nucleotide ribosomal RNA is filed under the name uncultured bacterium. Its description in RNAcentral is "partial 16S ribosomal RNA". It matches the Rfam family "Bacterial small subunit ribosomal RNA", at positions 30 to 526 of the family's 1533-position model. The record is from RNAcentral.
AUUGAACGCUGGCGGCAGGCCUAACACAUGCAAGUCGAACGAGUGGCGGACGGGUGAGUAAUGUCUGGGAAACUGCCUGAUGGAGGGGGAUAACUACUGGAAACGGUAGCUAAUACCGCAUACCAUCAGAUGUGCCCAGAUGGGAUUAGCUUGUUGGUGGGGUAACGGCUCACCAGGGCGACGAUACCUAGCUGGUCUAAGAGGAUGACCGGACAAUCUGGAACGGAGAAACGGUCAAGACUACUACGGGAGGCAGCAGUGGGGAAUAUUGAAAAAUGGGCGCAAGCCUGAUGCAGCCAUGCCGCUUGUAUGAAGAAGGCCUUCGGGUUAAAAAGUACUUUCAGAGGGGAGGCGUUACCCGCAGAGGAAGCACCGGCUAACUCCGUGCCAGCAGCCGCGGUAAUUC